RNAcentral lists this ribosomal RNA (467 nucleotides) under uncultured bacterium. RNAcentral describes it as "partial 16S ribosomal RNA". It matches the Rfam family "Bacterial small subunit ribosomal RNA", at positions 28 to 507 of the family's 1533-position model. The record is from RNAcentral.
GACGAACGCUGGCGGCGUGCUUAACACAUGCAAGUCGAACGGAAAGGCCCUGCUUUUGUGGGGUGCUCGAGUGGCGAACGGGUGAGUAACACGUGAGUAACCUGCCCUUGACUUUGGGAUAACUUCAGGAAACUGGGGCUAAUACCGGAUAGGAGCUCCUGCUGCAUGGGGGGGUUGGAAAGGUUCGGCGGGUGGGGAUGGACUCGCGGCUUAUCCGCUUGUUGGGGGGGUAGUGGCUUACCAAGGCUUUGACGGGUAGCCGGCCUGAGAGGGGGACCGGCCACAUUGGGACUGAGAUACGGCCCAGACUCCUACGGGAGGCAGCAGUGGGGAAUAUUGCACAAUGGGCGGAAGCCUGAUGCAGCAACGCCGCGUGCGGGAUGACGGCCUUCGGGUUGUAAACCGCUUUCGCCUGUGACGAAGCGUGAGUGACGGUAAUGGGUAAAGAAGCACCGGCUAACUACGUG